Molecule: unclassified non-coding RNA, 254 nt
Filed under: Hevea brasiliensis (rubber tree)
Lineage: Eukaryota; Viridiplantae; Streptophyta; Magnoliopsida; Malpighiales; Euphorbiaceae
Source: RNAcentral
AUUCUUUUUUUUUUUUUUGAAGAAAUGUUUGGUGAAAAUUCUUUACUUAAUGAAUCUGUGUUUAAUCAAAUUUUGAGUUGAGAUUAUCCUGUUAGAUCCACAGGUGGCCUGAUAUGGAUUAAUACAUGUGAAGGGCAUUGUAUUUAUUUCUUUUGUGUUUCGGUUACCAGUUUGCCUAUUUUGCAGUUGUAUUUGUCAUGCUAUAUGCUAUUUAGACAAAUGUCUGUCAAGAUUGUUAUUUGUUUGAUUUGUGU